RNAcentral lists this unclassified non-coding RNA (520 nucleotides) under uncultured Glomus. Its description in RNAcentral is "SSU rRNA". It matches the Rfam family "Eukaryotic small subunit ribosomal RNA", at positions 569 to 1091 of the family's 1831-position model. The record is from RNAcentral. Lineage: Eukaryota; Fungi; Glomeromycota; Glomeromycetes; Glomerales; Glomeraceae.
CGCAGCCGCGGUAAUUCCAGCUCCAAUAGCGUAUAUUAAAGUUGUUGCAGUUAAAAAGCUCGUAGUUGAAUUUCGGGGUUAGUAGGUUGGUCAUGCCUCUGGUAUGUACUGGUCUCACUGAUUCCUCCUUCCUGAUGAGCCGUAAUGCCAUUAAUUUGGUGUUGCGGGGAAUCUGGACUGUUACUUUAGAAAAAUUAGAGUGUUUAAAGCAAGCUAACGCUCGAAUACAUUAGCAUGGAAUAAUGAAAUAGGACGUUCGAUCCUAUUUUGUUGGUUUCUAGGAUUGACGUAAUGAUUAAUAGGGAUAGUUGGGGGCAUUAGUAUUCAAUUGUCAGAGGUGAAAUUCUUGGAUUUAUUGAAGACUAACUACUGCGAAAGCAUUUGCCAAGGAUGUUUUCAUUAAUCAAGAACGAAAGUUAGGGGAUCGAAGACGAUCAGAUACCGUCGUAGUCUUAACCAUAAACUAUGCCGACUAGGAAUCAGACGAUGUUAAUUUUUAAUGUACUCGUUGGCACCUUAC